CAGUGGGGAAGUAUUGCACAAUGGGGGAAACCCUGAUGCAGCCAUGCCGCGUGUGUGAAGAAGGCCUUCGGGUUGUAAAGCACUUUCAGUAGGGAGGAAGGUAGUGUAGUUAACACCUGCAUUAUUUGACGUUACCUACAGAAGAAGCACCGGCUAACUCCGUGCCAGCAGCCGCGGUAAUACGGAGGGUGCGAGCGUUAAUCGGAAUUACUGGGCGUAAAGCGCAUGCAGGCGGCCUGUUAAGUCAGAUGUGAAAGCCCGGGGCUUAACCUCGGAAUUGCAUUUGAAACUGGCAGGCUAGAGUCUUGUAGAGGGGGUAGAAUUUCAGGUGUAGCGGUGAAAAUGCGUAGAGAUCUGAAGGAAUACCAGUGGCGAAGGCGGCCCCCCUGGACAAAGACUGACGCUCAGAUGCGAAAGCGUGGGGAGCAAACAGGAUUAGAUACCCUGGUAG
This 451-nucleotide ribosomal RNA is filed under the name uncultured bacterium. RNAcentral describes it as "bacterial SSU rRNA". It matches the Rfam family "Bacterial small subunit ribosomal RNA", at positions 352 to 793 of the family's 1533-position model. The record is from RNAcentral.